This is a long non-coding RNA of Cicer arietinum (chickpea), 458 nucleotides long. RefSeq lists it as uncharacterized. Lineage: Eukaryota; Viridiplantae; Streptophyta; Magnoliopsida; Fabales; Fabaceae. The record is from RefSeq and is a predicted model, not a curated record.
CGAAAGAAAAGCCCCGCUCGGUAAAGCCCAAACCCUAAUCUCCUUUCUCCACUUAUUUAUACCCUUUGCCUUCAGCCGCAAAUUGUAUCUUCUCAAUUCUCAUAGAACCUUAGGUCAUAAAUUUCAAAAAGCAGACGGGCGGACUGAAAUGAUGCCAUGUUGAUUGUCUGCCACUUCCAUCUUUGGAAUGUCUCUGAGAUUCAAUUCUAAUGUUCAAAAAUUUAUUUUGAAAUGAUAAAUUCAAUUUUUCUAUAUUGUGAUGUUUUUAUUAAACAAUAAAUACUUCUGCUAUGAUGAUGUUGCAUCAAUAUGUCUGGACUUAUGAAAGUUUUUUCUGAUUAUCUAUGCUACUUCUGAGCAGUAUUAUCCUUUAUUUGUUUUUGUUAUUUUCAUAUGAAUAUAUGUUUAUAACUUUCUUUAUAGUUGUAUUAUUAUGUUGAUCUUUUCAUUUUUAGCUA